Molecule: small nuclear RNA, 103 nt
Organism: Zalophus californianus (California sea lion)
Lineage: Eukaryota; Metazoa; Chordata; Mammalia; Carnivora; Otariidae
Source: Ensembl
GUGCUCGCUUCAGAGCACAUGUACUAAAAUUAGAAUGUUACAGAGAUUAGAAUGGCCCCUGUGCAAGGAUGACAUGCCAAUUCAUGAAGCGGUCCAUAUUUUU